RNAcentral lists this transfer RNA (66 nucleotides) under Pternistis swainsonii (Swainson's spurfowl). RNAcentral's name for it is "tRNA-Cys". Lineage: Eukaryota; Metazoa; Chordata; Aves; Galliformes; Phasianidae. The record is from RNAcentral.
GACUCUGUAGUGAAGUUCAUAGUGAGUUGCAAGCUCAUUGAUGUGCACUAAGGUGUACCGGGGUCU